GAUGAACGCUGGCGGCGUGCUUAGCACAUGCAAGUCGAACGAAGCAUUUAAGACAGAUUACUUCGGUUUGAAGUCUUUUAUGACUGAGUGGCGGACGGGUGAGUAACGCGUGGGUAACCUGCCUCAUACAGGGGGAUAGCAGCUGGAAACGGCUGGUAAUACCGCAUAAGCGCACAGUACCACAUGGUACAGUGUGAAAAACUCCGGUGGUAUGAGAUGGACCCGCGUCUGAUUAGCUUGUUGGCGGGGUAACGGCCCACCAAGGCGACGAUCAGUAGCCGACCUGAGAGGGUGACCGGCCACAUUGGGACUGAGACACGGCCCAGACUCCUACGGGAGGCAGCAGUGGGGAAUAUUGCACAAUGGAGGAAACUCUGAUGCAGCGACGCCGCGUGAGUGAAGAAGUAGUUCGCUAUGUAAAGCUCUAUCAGCAGGGAGGAUAGUGACGGUACCUGACGAAGAAGCGCCGGCUAAAUACGUG
This 481-nucleotide ribosomal RNA is filed under the name uncultured bacterium. Its description in RNAcentral is "partial 16S ribosomal RNA". It matches the Rfam family "Bacterial small subunit ribosomal RNA", at positions 28 to 507 of the family's 1533-position model. The record is from RNAcentral.